RNAcentral lists this ribosomal RNA (333 nucleotides) under Tylenchus environmental sample. RNAcentral describes it as "uncultured Tylenchus sp. partial large subunit ribosomal RNA". It matches the Rfam family "Eukaryotic large subunit ribosomal RNA", at positions 646 to 964 of the family's 3401-position model. The record is from RNAcentral. Lineage: Eukaryota; Metazoa; Nematoda; Chromadorea; Rhabditida; Tylenchidae.
GACCCGUCUUGAAACACGGACCAAGGAGUUUAGCGUAUGCGCGAGUCAUUGAGUGUUGAAACUCAAAGGCGUAAUGAAAGUGAAUCGAAAGUGAUAUGCGAUCCCUUGCACUUCGGUGGUUGGGAGCAGCAUAGCCCCGUUCCAAUCGCUUGCGAUGGGGCGGAGGUAGAGCGUAUUCGCUGAGACCCGAAAGAUGGUGAACUAUUCCUGAGCUGGAUGAAGCCAGAUGAAAUNCUGGUGGAAUUCCGAAUCGGUCUGACUUGCANUUCCUACGUNUGAUUGGGUNUNGGGGCNAAANACUAAUCGAACCCCCUNUUANCUGGUUCCUUCCGA